This 816-nucleotide ribosomal RNA is filed under the name Mycobacterium sp. RODXS7. Its description in RNAcentral is "bacterial SSU rRNA". It matches the Rfam family "Bacterial small subunit ribosomal RNA", at positions 54 to 888 of the family's 1533-position model. The record is from RNAcentral. Lineage: Bacteria; Bacillati; Actinomycetota; Actinomycetes; Mycobacteriales; Mycobacteriaceae.
CCUGCAGUCGACGGUAGGCCUUUCGGGGUACACGAGUGGCGAACGGGUGAGUAACACGUGGGUGAUCUGCCCUGCACUUCGGGAUAAGCCUGGGAAACUGGGUCUAAUACCGGAUAUGACUACGAAUCGCAUGGUUUGUGGUGGAAAGCUUUUGCGGUGUGGGAUGGGCCCGCGGCCUAUCAGCUUGUUGGUGGGGUGAUGGCCUACCAAGGCGACGACGGGUAGCCGGCCUGAGAGGGUGUCCGGCCACACUGGGACUGAGAUACGGCCCAGACUCCUACGGGAGGCAGCAGUGGGGAAUAUUGCACAAUGGGCGCAAGCCUGAUGCAGCGACGCCGCGUGAGGGAUGACGGCCUUCGGGUUGUAAACCUCUUUCAGUAUCGACGAAGCGCAAGUGACGGUAGGUACAGAAGAAGGACCGGCCAACUACGUGCCAGCAGCCGCGGUAAUACGUAGGGUCCGAGCGUUGUCCGGAAUUACUGGGCGUAAAGAGCUCGUAGGUGGUUUGUCGCGUUGUUCGUGAAAACUCACAGCUCAACUGUGGGCGUGCGGGCGAUACGGGCAGACUGGAGUACUGCAGGGGAGACUGGAAUUCCUGGUGUAGCGGUGGAAUGCGCAGAUAUCAGGAGGAACACCGGUGGCGAAGGCGGGUCUCUGGGCAGUAACUGACGCUGAGGAGCGAAAGCGUGGGGAGCGAACAGGAUUAGAUACCCUGGUAGUCCACGCCGUANACGGUGGGUACUAGGUGUGGGUUUCCUUCCUUGGGAUCCGUGCCGUAGCUAACGCAUUAAGUACCCCGCCUGGGGAGUACGGCCG